This 359-nucleotide ribosomal RNA is filed under the name Actinomycetota bacterium. RNAcentral describes it as "bacterial SSU rRNA". It matches the Rfam family "Bacterial small subunit ribosomal RNA", at positions 1 to 353 of the family's 1533-position model. Lineage: Bacteria; Bacillati; Actinomycetota. The record is from RNAcentral.
UUGACGGAGAGUUUGAUCCUGGCUCAGGACGAACGCUGGCGGCGGGCUUAACACAUGCAAGUCGAACGAGGUCCAUCUUGUAGCAAUACAAGUGAAGACCUAGUGGCGAACGGGUGAGGAACACGUGAGAAAUUUGCCCCGAACUUUGGGAUAACAGUUGGAAACGACUGCUAAUACCGAAUGCCGUUACGAAGUGGCAUCACUUUGUAACGAAAGAAUUUCGGUUCGGGAGAAUCUCGCGGCCUAUCAGCUUGUUGGUGAGGUAACGGCUCACCAAGGCUACGACGGGUAGCUGGUCUGAGAGGAUGAUCAGCCACACUGGGACUGAGACACGGCCCAGACUCCUACGGGAGGCAGCA